UACGUAGGGGGCUAGCGUUGUUCGGAAUUACUGGGCGUAAAGGGCGCGUAGGCGGUCCGAUAAGUCCCGUGUGAAAGCCCCCGGCUCAACUGGGGAACUGCACGGGAAACUGACGGACUUGAGUUCGGGAGAGGGAAGCGGAAUUCCGGGUGUAGCGGUGAAAUGCGUAGAUAUCCGGAGGAACACCGGUGGCGAAGGCGGCUUCCUGGACCGACACUGACGCUGAGGCGCGAAAGCUAGGGGAGCAAACGGG
Molecule: ribosomal RNA, 253 nt
Filed under: uncultured bacterium
Lineage: Bacteria
Description: partial 16S ribosomal RNA
Rfam family: Bacterial small subunit ribosomal RNA
Source: RNAcentral